RNAcentral lists this ribosomal RNA (2436 nucleotides) under Herbaspirillum chlorophenolicum. Its description in RNAcentral is "bacterial LSU rRNA". It matches the Rfam family "Bacterial large subunit ribosomal RNA", at positions 166 to 2654 of the family's 2925-position model. Lineage: Bacteria; Pseudomonadati; Pseudomonadota; Betaproteobacteria; Burkholderiales; Oxalobacteraceae. The record is from RNAcentral.
AUAGGUGUGUGAGCGACGUGGCGAACUGAAACAUCUAAGUAGCUACAGGAAAAGGAAUCAACCGAGAUUCCCAGAGUAGUGGCGAGCGAAAUGGGACCAGCCUGCAAGAUUUAGCAUCAUUGAUAGUGGAACGGAAUGGAAAGUCCGGCCAUAGAGGGUGAUAGCCCCUUACACGAAGUCAUUGGUGUGGAACUAGGCUUGCGACAAGUAGGGCGGGACACGUGAAAUCCUGUCUGAACAUGGGGGGACCAUCCUCCAAGGCUAAAUACUCGUAAUCGACCGAUAGUGAACCAGUACCGUGAGGGAAAGGCGAAAAGAACCCCGGAAGGGGAGUGAAAUAGAUCCUGAAACCGUGUGCAUACAAACAGUAGGAGCCUCGCAAGGGGUGACUGCGUACCUUUUGUAUAAUGGGUCAGCGACUUACAUUCAGUGGCAAGGUUAACCGCAUAGGGAAGCCGUAGAGAAAUCGAGUCCGAAUAGGGCGUUCAGUCGCUGGGUGUAGACCCGAAACCAAGUGAUCUAUCCAUGGCCAGGUUGAAGGUGCGGUAACACGCACUGGAGGACCGAACCCACUAAUGUUGAAAAAUUAGGGGAUGAGCUGUGGAUAGGGGUGAAAGGCUAAACAAACUUGGAAAUAGCUGGUUCUCUCCGAAAACUAUUUAGGUAGUGCCUCAAGUAUCACCAUCGGGGGUAGAGCACUGUUAUGGCUAGGGGGUCAUCGCGACUUACCAAACCAUUGCAAACUCCGAAUACCGAUGAGUGCGAGCUUGGGAGACAGACGCCGGGUGCUAACGUCCGACGUCAAGAGGGAAACAACCCAGACCGCCAGCUAAGGUCCCAAAGAUUGGCUAAGUGGAAAACGAAGUGGGAAGGCUAAAACAGUCAGGAGGUUGGCUUAGAAGCAGCCAUCCUUUAAAGAAAGCGUAAUAGCUCACUGAUCGAGUCGUCCUGCGCGGAAGAUGUAACGGGGCUAAGCCAGUCACCGAAGCUGCGGAUAUCCGUAAGGAUAUGGUAGGAGAGCGUUCUGUAAGCCUGUGAAGGUGUCUUGUAAAGGAUGCUGGAGGUAUCAGAAGUGCGAAUGCUGACAUGAGUAGCGAUAAUGCGGGUGAAAAGCCCGCACGCCGUAAGCCCAAGGUUUCCUGUUCAACGUUCAUCGGAGCAGGGUGAGUCGGCCCCUAAGGCGAGGCAGAGAUGCGUAGCUGAUGGGAAGCAGGUUAAUAUUCCUGCACCGUCGUUAGAUGCGAUGGGGGGACGGAUCGCGGAAGGUUGUCCGGGUGUUGGAUGUCCCGGUUCCUGUAUCAGAGAAGGCUGUUAGGCAAAUCCGGCAGCGUAAUUCAAGGGUAUGGGACGAGCGAACUUGUUCGCGAAGCAAUCGGAAGUGGUUCCAAGAAAAGCCUCUAAGCUUCAGUCUAACGAGACCGUACCGCAAACCGACACAGGUGGGCGAGAUGAGUAUUCUAAGGCGCUUGAGAGACUCGGGAGAAGGAACUCGGCAAAUUGGUACCGUAACUUCGGGAUAAGGUACGCCCAAGUAGUUUGACUGGCCUGCGCCAGAAGGACGAAAGGGUUGCAAUAAAAUGGUGGCUGCGACUKUUUAAUAAAAACACAGCACUCUGCAAACACGAAAGUGGACGUAUAGGGUGUGACGCCUGCCCGGUGCUGGAAGAUUAAAUGAUGGGGUGCAAGCUCUUGAUUGAAGUCCCAGUAAACGGCGGCCGUAACUAUAACGGUCCUAAGGUAGCGAAAUUCCUUGUCGGGUAAGUUCCGACCUGCACGAAUGGCGUAACGAUGGCCACACUGUCUCCUCCCGAGACUCAGCGAAGUUGAAAUGUUUGUGAUGAUGCAAUCUACCCGCGGCUAGACGGAAAGACCCCAUGAACCUUUACUGUAGCUUUACAUUGGACUUUGAACCAAUCUGUGUAGGAUAGGUGGGAGGCUUUGAAGCGUGGACGCUAGUCUGCGUGGAGCCAACCUUGAAAUACCACCCUCGUUUGUUUGAGGUUCUAACCUUGGUCCGUUAUCCGGAUCGGGGACAGUGUAUGGUAGGCAGUUUGACUGGGGCGGUCUCCUCCCAAAGUGUAACGGAGGAGUUCGAAGGUACGCUAGGUACAGUCGGACAUCGUGCUAAUAGUGCAAUGGCAUAAGCGUGCUUAACUGCGAGACUGACAAGUCGAGCAGGUGCGAAAGUAGGACAUAGUGAUCCGGUGGUUCUGUAUGGAAGGGCCAUCGCUCAACGGAUAAAAGGUACUCUGGGGAUAACAGGCUGAUUCCUCCCAAGAGUUCAUAUCGACGGGGGAGUUUGGCACCUCGAUGUCGGCUCAUCACAUCCUGGGGCUGUAGCCGGUCCCAAGGGUAUGGCUGUUCGCCAUUUAAAGUGGUACGUGAGCUGGGUUUAAAACGUCGUGAGACAGUUUGGUCCCUAUCUGCCGUGGGCGU